GACGAACGCUGGCGGCGUGCUUAACGCAUGCAAGUCGAACGGAAAGGCCCUGCUUUUGUGGGGUGCUCGAGUGGCGAACGGGUGAGUAACACGUGAGUAACCUGCCCUUGACUUUGGGAUAACUUCAGGAAACUGGGGCUAAUACCGGAUAGGAGCUCCUGCUGCAUGGUGGGGGUUGGAAAGUUUCGGCGGUUGGGGAUGGACUCGCGGCUUAUCAGCUUGUUGGUGGGGUAGUGGCUUACCAAGGCUUUGACGGGUAGCCGGCCUGAGAGGGUGACCGGCCACAUUGGGACUGAGAUACGGCGCAGACUCCUACGGGAGGCAGCAGUGGGGAAUAUUGCACAAUGGGCGGAAGCCUGAUGCAGCAACGCCGCGUGCGGGAUGACGGCCUUCGGGUUGUAAACCGCUUUCGCCUGUGACGAAGCGUGAGUGACGGUAAUGGGUAAAGAAGCACCGGCUAACUACGUG
RNAcentral lists this ribosomal RNA (468 nucleotides) under uncultured bacterium. Its description in RNAcentral is "partial 16S ribosomal RNA". It matches the Rfam family "Bacterial small subunit ribosomal RNA", at positions 28 to 507 of the family's 1533-position model. The record is from RNAcentral.